This 771-nucleotide ribosomal RNA is filed under the name uncultured Planctomycetia bacterium. RNAcentral's name for it is "bacterial SSU rRNA". It matches the Rfam family "Bacterial small subunit ribosomal RNA", at positions 59 to 836 of the family's 1533-position model. Lineage: Bacteria; Pseudomonadati; Planctomycetota; Planctomycetia. The record is from RNAcentral.
CAGUCGUGCGGCAGCGGGCCCCGCAAGGGGUGCUGGCGAGCGGCGAAAGGGUCAGUAACACGUGGAUAACCUACCCUCGGGCUCGGGAUAGCGGCGGGAAACUGCCGGUAAUACCGGAUAAUGUCCAUGGACCAAAGGUGUGAUUCCGUCCGAGGAUGGGUCCGCGUCCUAUUAGCUAGUUGGUGAGGUAACGGCCCACCAAGGCAAAGAUGGGUAGGGGGUGUGAGAGCAUGAUCCCCGACACUGGGACUGAGACACUGCCCAGACACCUACGGGUGGCUGCAGUCGAGAAUCUUCGGCAAUGGGCGCAAGCCUGACCGAGCGACGCCGCGUGCGGGAUGAAGGCCUUCGGGUUGUAAACCGCUGUCAGAGGGGCGGAAAUAUGUUGGGGUUCUCCCCAGCGUUUGACUUAACCUCAGAGGAAGCAUGGGCUAAGUUCGUGCCAGCAGCCGCGGUAAGACGAACCAUGCAAACGUUAUUCGGAAUUACUGGGCUUAAAGCGUGCGUAGGCGGCUCAGAAAGUUGGGUGUGAAAUACCUCGGCUUAACCGAGGAAUUGCGCCCAAAACUACUGGGCUUGAGGGAGUUAGAGGUGAGCGGAACUCACGGUGGAGCGGUGAAAUGCGUUGAUAUCGUGAGGAACACCGGAGGCGAAAGCGGCUCACUGGGGCUUCACUGACGCUGAGGCACGAAAGCUAGGGGAGCAAACGGGAUUAGAUACCCCGGUAGUCCUAGCCGUAAACGAUGAGCACUGGGUCGAGGGGACCUCCAC